AAUAUUGCACAAUGGGCGCAAGCCUGAGUAGCAGCCAUGCCGCGUGUAUGAAGAAGGCCUCGGGUUGUAAAGUACUUUCAGCAGUGAGAAGGUGGGUAUGUUAAUAGCAUACUCAUUUGACGUUAGCUGCAGAAGAAGCACCGGCUAACUCCGUGCCAGCAGCCGCGGUAAUACGGGAGGGUGCGAGCGUUAAUCGGAAUUACUGGGCGUAAAGCGCAUGCAGGUGGUUGUUAAGUCAGAUGUGAAAGCCCGGGGCUCAACCUCGGAAUUGCAUUUGAAACUGGCAAACUAGAGUACUGUAGAGGGGGUAGAAUUUCAGGUGUAGCGGUGAAAUGCGUAGAGAUCUGAAGGAAUACCGGUGGCGAAGGCGGCCCCCUGGACAGAUACUGACACUCAGAUGCGAAAGCGUGGGGAGCAAACAGGAUUAGAUACCCCUGGUAG
RNAcentral lists this ribosomal RNA (441 nucleotides) under uncultured bacterium. RNAcentral describes it as "bacterial SSU rRNA". It matches the Rfam family "Bacterial small subunit ribosomal RNA", at positions 360 to 793 of the family's 1533-position model. The record is from RNAcentral.